RNAcentral lists this unclassified non-coding RNA (250 nucleotides) under plant metagenome. Its description in RNAcentral is "partial contains small subunit ribosomal RNA, internal transcribed spacer 1, and 5.8S ribosomal RNA". The record is from RNAcentral.
GUAGGUGAACCUGCGGAAGGAUCAUUUCCAAUAAUUGAAAAAACACAACAUUUAAACACCUUUAUUGGUGUGUGAAUUGUUUUGGGUACUCUAUUUCUCUCAAAAGAGGAUUGAUUUGAUGAAGUGAAGUGGUACUGUUGGUGUGGUGGAGCAUUGUGGCGUUGGAAUGCGUUGGAAGACUUGUUUCUCAAUGAUGUGGACACUCUCUUGUUGCAGCGUAGUAACAUCUCGUAUGUUAUUGCCUUGUGAG